ACAGGGGGAGGAACAGCCUGGCAGGAUGUGUAUCUGACAGGGGGACGAACAGCCGGGCAGGAUGUCUAUCCGACAGGGGGAGGCACAGCCCAGACAUUAUAGCAGUUUUCAAGAGGAUGUGGUGAUGAAUUCAUCUCUCUCUCUCUACCCUGCUGUAGAAGGCAGCUGGUACUUUCAGUACAGUGUAGAAAGAUGUCUCCGACAACAUGUUGUCUAGGCCUUUUCUUCAUCUUAUUUCCAUGUCAGUGUGGAGCAGCAGGCCCCGUAGUGCUUCAGCCCAGACAGCUCCUCACCCUUCCUGGUAACACGACCACCUCCAGUCCAGUCACCCUGCAGUGCUCCCUGGGUCCAGGCUUCAGCAUGCCCAGCUACACCAUGAUGUGGUACCGACAGGUCCGCUAUGGAGGCCCAGUGGAGUUCCUCAUUAAGGAGUACGAGAAAACCCGGGGGCGAUACAAAGAGGACCUGGACACAUCGGGGAACAGGUUCAUCCUGCAGAUUUCUGAGCUGGUUGUGGAGGACAGUGGUGUCUACUACUGCGCUGCUAGUCACGGUGAAACAACAGCCUGAAGAGCAGUACAAAUACAACACUCCUCUGUUUACUAUACACGACGUGGGUCUGAGUCCCAAAUGGUGCCCUGUUCCCUAUAUAGUCCACUACAUUUGAUCAGGAUCCUAUGGGCUCUGGUCUAAAGUAGUGCACUACAUUUGAUCAGGAUCCUAUGGGCUCUGGUCUAAAGUAGUGCACUACAUUUGAUCAAGAUCCUAUGGGCUCUGGUCUAAAGUAGUGCACUACAUUUGAUCAGGAUCCUAUGGGCUCUGGUCUAAAGUAGUGCACUACAUUUGAUCAGGAUCCUAUGGGCUCUGGUCUAAAGUAGUGCACUACAUUUGAUCAAGAUCCUAUGGGCUCUGGUCUAAAGUAGUGCACUAUAUAGGGAACAGGGUGCCGUUUGGGACUCAGCCUAGUCUCUCUGUCUGUUUGUCUGUCUCCGUCUGUCUGUCACACAGAUGGCUCAGAGCAGGAAGACAUUGUCGGCUGUGGCUCUUCUGGUAAUCAUAAUAAACCGUCUGUCUAACCAAA
Oncorhynchus nerka (sockeye salmon) is the source of this 1081-nucleotide non-coding RNA. Lineage: Eukaryota; Metazoa; Chordata; Actinopteri; Salmoniformes; Salmonidae. The record is from the annotation of a RefSeq genome assembly.